UAAAACCAGCUCUUCAAGUGGUCGGGAUAUUUAUUGGGCUUAAAGUGUCCGUAGCUGGUACAAUAAGUUCCUGGUAAAAUCUAGUAGCUUAACUAUUAGCAUGCUAGGAAUACUGUCGUACUAGAGGGCGGGAGAGGUCUGAGGUACUUCAGGGGUAGGGGUGAAAUCCUAUAAUCCUUGAAGGACCACCAGUGGCGAAGGCGUCAGACUGGAACGCGCCUGACAGUGAGGGACGAAAGCUAGGGGAGCGAACCGGAUUAGAUACCCGGGUAGUCCUAGCCGUAAACGAUGCACACUAGGUGUUGGUAUGGCUAUGAGCCGUAUCAGUGCCGAAGGGAAACCAUUAAGUGUGCCGCCUGGGAGGUACGGUCGCAAGGCUA
Molecule: ribosomal RNA, 380 nt
Filed under: uncultured archaeon
Lineage: Archaea
Description: bacterial SSU rRNA
Rfam family: Archaeal small subunit ribosomal RNA
Source: RNAcentral